GACGAGAAAGUCUCCUUCGGGGGGCGAGUAAAGUGGCGCAAGGGUGAGUAACACGUGAAUAAUCUACCACCGAAUCUGGGAUAACUCAGCGAAAGUUGGGCUAAUACCAGAUAAGACCACGUCUCUCAUGAGAUGCGGGAAAAGGAGCCCCAACCUCCGUUUGGUGAUGAGUUCGCGGACCAUUAGCUAGUUGGUGAGAUAAAAGCUCACCAAGGCGACGAUGGUUAGCCGGCCUGAGAGGGUGAUCGGCCACACUGGAACUGAGACACGGUCCAGACUCCUACGGGAGGCAGCAGUGGGGAAUAUUGCGCAAUGGGCGAAAGCCUGACGCAGCAACGCCGCGUGAGGGAUGAAGGCUUUCGGGUCGUAAACCUCUGUCGAAUGGGAAGAAAUCUUGACGGUACCAUUAAAGGAAGCCCCGGCUAACUUCGUGCCAGCAGCCGCGGUAAUACGAAGGGGGCAAGCGUUGUUCGGAAUCAUUGGGCGUAAAGCGUAUGUAGGCGGCUGGUCAAGUCAGACGUGUAAGCCCACGGCUCAACCGUGGAAUUGCGUUUGAAACUGCCCAGCUUGAGUUCAGGAGAGGAAAGCGGAAUUCCCAGUGUAGCGGUGAAAUGCAUUGAUAUUGGGAAGAACAUCGGUGGCGAAGGCGGCUUUCUGGCCUGAAACUGACGCUGAGACACGAAAGCCAGGGGAGCAAACGGGAUUAGAUACCCCGGUAGUCCUGGCUGUAAACGAUGGGUACUAGGUGUAGGGGGUAUCGAUCCCCUCUGUGUCGUAGCUAACGCAUUAAGUACCCCGCCU
Molecule: ribosomal RNA, 801 nt
Filed under: uncultured bacterium
Lineage: Bacteria
Description: bacterial SSU rRNA
Rfam family: Bacterial small subunit ribosomal RNA
Source: RNAcentral